Long non-coding RNA from Oreochromis aureus, 1278 nucleotides. The record is from Ensembl. Lineage: Eukaryota; Metazoa; Chordata; Actinopteri; Cichliformes; Cichlidae.
GUCGACACGAAGAUGAUGUUCUAUGUUAAAAGUCAUUGUGGUUUUAGUGUGACGUAAAUCUGCCUAGUAACAGAAAAGGGGGCUGUACAAUUCUUAACCCCAUAAAACAGUUGUCUGAAUAUGAGAAAGACAGUUCAACACUGAUUGGGUUGUUGAACUCACACAUGUGUUCAUUAAAAUGCCGUCUAAAUUGCACACGCCUGGAUCUGUGGUUUUUAUGGAUUCUUCUCUCAACAUUGAACCCUAACAUUUGGGGGCUCGUUCCGGUGAGAGAGAGGUAGAGGGGUUUUGGUGAGAUCCGGGGUCCGUGGCAAUUGGACGGGCAGACGGUAAUCAGUGGUGAAAGUGAGCAGGCAUUCCCCGGGGCAUUUAAAGAACCAGUGUGUCCCCUAGGCCUGAUAACACUCUUGCCCAGUUGGCCACUGUAGUAGGCGGGCAUGGAAGGCUGGACAGCACAUGACGGGUAAGAUCCCACCUCGAAACCCUGGGACAACCUAAGGCAAGGCGCAGUCACGAUUGCUUGAACCUAAGUCCCGGAGUGACCUUGGAGUCACUGGAGGAGACGGGAUUUAACAGGUAAGGCCACUGGGCACAGGCGGAGGGGAAAUGUCAUUAACAAGGACCAGUGAUGAACCAGAGAGAGAAAAUACACCCUGUCAAAAGGAGUUUGAAACACUGCAAAAGAAACAUUUACAAGAUCACAAAGAUCAUAAAGAAACAUUUAUAAAAACCACACAUACAAACAGAAAAUGCACUAACCUUACAGAGAUAAGCUCAUGAAGAGUAAUGCAUAGAUAGUAAUUAAAACUUGGCUAAGAACACAAACAUAUGUAAUUAAAUCAGCCUGCUAAUUUCAUGAGGGUUAAAAUGGUGUGAAUGUUGAAGAAAAUACACUUAAAACACACUUGGAUAAAAUAGAGUUGUUGUGGAAUAACUCAAACGAAGCUGUAUGACAAGGGAGUGAGUUAUGGAAAAAACAAAAACAAAAGAGGAGUAAUUACUUAGGAGUGCUCUUGCACUGAUUUAUCAAAGUAAGUGAUUAGUAUAGAAAGAAAAUGAAAAUAAUUCAAUAAUGUGAUAAGGUUUAAACAUGUAUUCCUCUUGUUAAGUUGGCUGUUGAGUUGUGGGUUUAUGCAAAUUAGCUGGAGCAGAGACACUUCCUGUGUGUGUGUGUGUCGGAGGCUUUCUGUUCAGUUCAAGAGAGAUCGGGGCUGAUGAAGAGUAUUUGGAGAAAUAUAAUGGUAAAGUAUCAGGAUAUUUGAUUACGGUGGUCAGGUC